Molecule: ribosomal RNA, 429 nt
Filed under: Bacteroidota bacterium
Lineage: Bacteria; Pseudomonadati; Bacteroidota
Description: Bacteroidetes bacterium partial 16S ribosomal RNA
Rfam family: Bacterial small subunit ribosomal RNA
Source: RNAcentral
UAGGGAAUCUUCGGCAAUGGGGGGAACCCUGACCGAGCAACGCCGCGUGAGUGAAGAAGGUUUUCGGAUCGUAAAGCUCUGUUGUUAAGGAAGAACGAGUGUGAGAAUGGAAAGUUCAUACUGUGACGGUACUUAACCAGAAAGGGACGGCUAACUACGUGCCAGCAGCCGCGGUAAUACGUAGGUCCCGAGCGUUGUCCGGAUUUAUUGGGCGUAAAGCGAGCGCAGGCGGUUAGAUAAGUCUGAAGUUAAAGGCAGUGGCUCAACCAUUGUAGGCUUUGGAAACUGUUUAACUUGAGUGCAGAAGGGGAGAGUGGAAUUCCAUGUGUAGCGGUGAAAUGCGUAGAUAUAUGGGGGAACACCGGUGGCGAAAGCGGCUCUCUGGUCUGUAACUGACGCUGAGGCUCGAAAGCGUGGGGAGCGAACAGG